Molecule: long non-coding RNA, 462 nt
Organism: Arabidopsis lyrata subsp. lyrata
Lineage: Eukaryota; Viridiplantae; Streptophyta; Magnoliopsida; Brassicales; Brassicaceae
Exons: 2
Source: RefSeq, a predicted model, not a curated record
CCUUCCUUCUCUUUAAUUUUUCUUCAAGUGAGAUUGAAGUAUAUCCCAAGUUGUUGAAAUUAUGGCGACAAAUAAAUUUUCAUCUUGUUUCUUAUUUUCGUUAAUGGUGUUUUUUCUCAUCCUUUUGCCACUGAUUUCAGGGCAAAUGAUACCAUGUCUACUGGGGAAAUGUAAAAACACAAGGACAUGCAAUGCAUCUUGCAAAUCUAGAGGAUACAAAGGAGGGGCUUGUAUAAGCAUGGACGUUCGCUCAAAAACCGGUGCUUAUUGCUGCAAAGUUAGAUUUGAAUAAUUGAAUCUCAAGAUUCUUCUGAUACAAGCCCCUCAUUAAUUGAUAAUUAAUUCUUAACUUUAUAUGUGUAAGGUUUUAUAUGAAUAAAAAAAUUAACCAAACAUCUUUUAUAUGUUUCGGCAUGGAUAUACUGUAUAUGGGCAAUUUAGUAGGUAACUUAAUUUGUCCCA